AAACAACCUGCUCAGUAUUUUAUCUUAAGCACCUAUCUCACAAAUUUAUCAUCAUGCAUCAUCUCAACUUCAAUCAAAUACUAGAAUCUCAUAAAGCAAAACUUAUCACACAAAACAGGCACAGUUGAAUCAAGGCAAUUCAGUUCAUUCAAGCAGAGCACACAAAUUAAAAUAAAAGAAAACCCACAUUAAAAUAAAAAAAUAAAAAAAUAAAAAUUAAAAAAAUUAAAGGUUCAGAGCUCUAGGUUGCCUCCCA
Molecule: long non-coding RNA, 256 nt
Filed under: Vigna radiata
Lineage: Eukaryota; Viridiplantae; Streptophyta; Magnoliopsida; Fabales; Fabaceae
Description: long non-coding RNA (VRAD_LNC016913)
Source: RNAcentral